RNAcentral lists this ribosomal RNA (301 nucleotides) under uncultured bacterium. Its description in RNAcentral is "partial 16S ribosomal RNA". It matches the Rfam family "Bacterial small subunit ribosomal RNA", at positions 509 to 807 of the family's 1533-position model. The record is from RNAcentral.
CAGUCGCCGCGGUAAUACGGAGGGAGCUAGCGUUGUUCGGAAUUACUGGGCGUAAAGCGCACGUAGGCGGCUUUGUAAGUCAGAGGUGAAAGCCUGGAGCUCAACUCCAGAACUGCCUUUGAGACUGCAUCGCUUGAAUCCAGGAGAGGUGAGUGGAAUUCCGAGUGUAGAGGUGAAAUUCGUAGAUAUUCGGAAGAACACCAGUGGCGAAGGCGGCUCACUGGACUGGUAUUGACGCUGAGGUGCGAAAGCGUGGGGAGCAAACAGGAUUAGAUACCCCAGUAGUCCCUGUCUCUUAUAC